RNAcentral lists this ribosomal RNA (1691 nucleotides) under Deltaproteobacteria bacterium ADurb.Bin002. RNAcentral's name for it is "bacterial LSU rRNA". It matches the Rfam family "Bacterial large subunit ribosomal RNA", at positions 809 to 2502 of the family's 2925-position model. Lineage: Bacteria; Deltaproteobacteria. The record is from RNAcentral.
CUGUGAUAAGGGGUGAAAGGCUAAACAAACCUGGAAAUAGCUGGCACUCCCCGAAAUGCCUUGAGGGACAGCCUCAUACGCCUAUCAUGGAGGUAGAGCACUGUUUGGACUAGGGGUCUUCACCGGCUACCAAACCCAGGCAAACUGCGAAUGCCGUGACAGAAGGUAUGGGAGUGAGACGGCGGGCGAUAAAGUUCGUCGUCGAGAGGGGAACAGCCCGGACCGACAGCUAAGGUCCCUAAAUGCCGCUGAGUGUGAAAUGAGGUGCUAUUGCGAAGACAGCCAGGAGGUUGGCUUAGAAGCAGCAAUUCCUUAAAAGAGUGCGUAACAGCUCACUGGUCGAGCAAUGGUGCGCAGACAAUGUAACGGGGCUAAGCGGUAUACCGAAGCUUUGGAUUCAUACUUUUAGGGUAUGGAUGGUAGGGGAGCAUUCCAUGGACCGGAGAAGGUACACUGAGAGGUGUGCUGGAGGGGAUGGAAGAGAGAAUGCAGGUAUAAGUACACGAAAAGACGGGUGAGAUUCCCGUCCGCCGAAAACCUAAGGUUUCCUGGGUAAAGGUCAUCUGCCCAGGGUUAGUCGGUCUCUAAGAUGAGGCGGAAGCGCGUAGUCGAUGAGAAUCCGGUUCAUAUUCCGGAACCAUAUAUAAGUUCGAAGGGAUGACGCAUGAGGUGGAGCACUGCCGGCUGACGGAAUAGCCGGUUUACUUAGCGAGCCUAUGAGGUAGCGAGGGAAAACCAGCUACUGAGGUGAGCUAAGGAGGGAGAGAAGCUACGGUGGAACGAAGAGUGCCGAAUCAAGGUGCCAAGAAAGAGUCUCUAAGGACAACUUAUAUAUGACCGUACCGUAAACGGACACACGUAGGUAGGAUGAGAAAUCUAAGGCGCUCGAGAUAACUCGCGUUAAGGAACUCGGCAAAAUGCACACGUAACUUCGGGAGAAGUGUGGCCUGAGCGAUCAGGUUGCAGAUAAUAGGCCCAGGCGACUGUUUACCAAAAACACAGGACUCUGCGAACGCGCAAGCGGAAGUAUAGGGUCUGACGCCUGCCCGGUGCUGGAAGGUUAAGAGGAGGGGUUAGCAGGUAACUGCGAAGCUCUGAAUUGAAGCCCCAGUAAACGGCGGCCGUAACUAUAACGGUCCUAAGGUAGCGAAAUUCCUUGUCGGGUAAGUUCCGACCCGCACGAAUGGUGGAACGAUCUGGGCACUGUCUCGACGCGAGACUCGGUGAAAUUUAAGUACCGGUAAAGAUGCCGGUUACCCGUGGUUAGACGGAAAGACCCCAUGAACCUUUACUGUAGCUUAUCAUUGGGACUUGGCUUUACAUGUGUAGGAUAGGUGGGAGACUGGGAAGCAUGGCCGCUAGGCUGUGUGGAGUCGACGGUGAAAUACCACCCUUGUAAGGCUAGGUUUCUAACUUAGUUUGUAAAGCCAGGCUAGGGACAGUGGUAGGUGGGCAGUUUGACUGGGGCGGUCGCCUCCUAAAAGGUAACGGAGGUGCGCGAAGGUUGCCUUGCGCUGGGUGGAAAUCAGCGCUUAAAGUGUAAAGGCAUAAGGCAGCUUGACUGCGAGUCCGACAGGACGAGCAGGUACGAAAGUAGGUCUUAGUGAUCUGGCGGUAGCGAGUGGAAGCGCCGUCACUUAACGGAUAAAAGGUACUCUGGGGAUAACAGGCUGAUCUUGCCCAAGAGUUCA